UGGAAACUGGAGCUCUGAGAGACUGAAUUUCCCUAUGGCCAAGUGAGUAGUGAAUAGCAAAGCUAGAUUUAAAUUCAGAGGCAUCUGGCCCAUAGUUGAGGGCUGUCUUGAACCCUGGAUUUGUUUCAAGAACCAAAGCUGCAUUCUCAGUUCCACCUCUGUGUGCACACAUCAACAGGGGCCAGAAGGAUGGUUCCUGCUGGGAGUCGCCUGUGGCCCCUAGAGGAAGCAAAAGCUCGGGGUCUACUAUUCCCUCUUGGCUUGACUAUGGUCGGUCUUUUCAAGUCUCAGCUCCUGAAACAAAAGGGGUUCAAACUCGGGACCUUGCACUUUCAAGGAAGGCAGAAUUAUACUUUCAUUCUUGGCACGACUAAUAGUCUUAUGAAAUUUAACCCAAAACGCCUAUCUCUUGAUUGCUGUGCCCUGAGAGCCAGUGCCACAGGAAACAAAAGCAGAC
Molecule: long non-coding RNA, 457 nt
Filed under: Fukomys damarensis (Damara mole-rat)
Lineage: Eukaryota; Metazoa; Chordata; Mammalia; Rodentia; Bathyergidae
Description: lncRNA (ENSFDAG00000025166.1)
Source: RNAcentral